CCUACGGGAGGCAGCAGUGAGGAAUAUUGGUCAAUGGACGAGAGUCUGAACCAGCCAAGUAGCGUGAAGGAUGACUCCCCUAUGGGUUGUAAACUUCUUUUAUAUGGGAAUAAAACGUUCCACGUGUGGGAUUUUGUAUGUACCAUAUGAAUAAGGAUCGGCUAACUCCGUGCCAGCAGCUGCGGUAAUACGGAGGAUCCGAGCGUUAUCCGGAUUUAUUGGGUUUAAAGGGAGCGUAGGUGGAUUGUUAAGUCAGUUGUGAAAGUUUGCGGCUCAACCGUAAAAUUGCAGUUGAAACUGGCAGUCUUGAGUACAGUAGAGGUGGGCGGAAUUCGUGGUGUAGCGGUGAAAUGCUUAGAUAUCACGAAGAACUCCGAUUGCGAAGGCAGUUCACUGGACUGCAACUGACACUGAGGCUCGAAAGUGUGGGUAUCAAACAGGAUUAGAUACCCGGGUAGUC
This 460-nucleotide ribosomal RNA is filed under the name uncultured bacterium. RNAcentral describes it as "partial 16S ribosomal RNA". It matches the Rfam family "Bacterial small subunit ribosomal RNA", at positions 338 to 795 of the family's 1533-position model. The record is from RNAcentral.